RNAcentral lists this ribosomal RNA (502 nucleotides) under uncultured bacterium. Its description in RNAcentral is "bacterial SSU rRNA". It matches the Rfam family "Bacterial small subunit ribosomal RNA", at positions 23 to 518 of the family's 1533-position model. The record is from RNAcentral.
GUCAGGACGAACGCUGGCGGCGUGCUUAACACAUGCAAGUCGAACGAGGAUAUACCAGAGGAGAGCUUCGGCAGGAAUCGGGAAUAUUCGAGUGGCGGACGGGUGAGUAACGCGUGAGCAACCUGUCCCAGACAGGGGGAUAACACUUGGAAACAGGUGCUAAUACCGCAUAAGACCACGGUAUCACAUGGUAGUGGGGUAAAAGGAGCAAUCCGGUUUGGGGUGGGCUCGCGUCCGAUUAGAUAGUUGGUGAGGUAACGGCCCACCAAGUCGACGAUCGGUAGCCGACCUGAGAGGGUGAUCGGCCACAUUGGAACUGAGAGACGGUCCAAACUCCUACGGGAGGCAGCAGUGGGGAAUAUUGGGCAAUGGGCGAAAGCCUGACCCAAGCAACGCCGCGUGAGUGAAGAAGGCCUUCGGGUUGUAAAGCUCUGUUAUAGUUGACGAAGGAAGUGACGGUAGGCUAUAAGGAAGCCCCGGCUAACUACGUGCCAGCAGCUGC